This 404-nucleotide ribosomal RNA is filed under the name uncultured bacterium. RNAcentral's name for it is "bacterial SSU rRNA". It matches the Rfam family "Bacterial small subunit ribosomal RNA", at positions 61 to 507 of the family's 1533-position model. The record is from RNAcentral.
GUCGAACGGGCUCUUCGGAGCAAGUGGCGGACGGGUGAGUAACGCGUGAGAAUGUGCCUUCAGGAUGGGGAUAACAAUAGGAAACUAAUGCUAAGACCCAAUGUGCCUUAAGUGGUGAAAAAUGAAAAUUGCCUGAAGAGGAGCUCGCGUCUGAUUAGCUAGUUGGGGUGGUAAAAGCGCACCAAGGCAACGAUCAGUAGCUGGUCUGAGAGGAUGAGCAGCCACACUGGGACUGAGACACGGCCCAGACUCCUACGGGAGGCAGCAGUGGGGAAUUUUCCGCAAUGGGCGAAAGCCUGACGGAGCAAUACCGCGUGAGGGAGGAAGGCUCUUGGGUUGUAAACCUCAAAACUUAGGGAAGAAAAAAAUGACGGUACCUAAUUUAAGCAUCGGCUAACUCCGUG